GUGCUCACUGUGGCAGCAUAGAUACUAAAGUUGGAAGAACACAGAGAAAAUUAGCAUGGACCCUGCACAAGUGAGACA
This 78-nucleotide small nuclear RNA is filed under the name Sus scrofa (pig). The record is from RNAcentral. Lineage: Eukaryota; Metazoa; Chordata; Mammalia; Artiodactyla; Suidae.